Molecule: ribosomal RNA, 453 nt
Filed under: uncultured bacterium
Lineage: Bacteria
Description: partial 16S ribosomal RNA
Rfam family: Bacterial small subunit ribosomal RNA
Source: RNAcentral
AACCAACGCUGGCGGCGUGCCUAAUACAUGCAAGUCGAACGGGGUAGCAAUACCUAGUGGCGCACGGGUGAGUAACGCGUGGAUAAUCUGCCUUAGAGAGGGGGAUACCUAGUCGAAAGAUUAGCUAAUACCGCCUAAGACCACAAGAGCUGCGGCUCAAGGGGUCAAAGGUUUUUCGCUCUAAGAUGAGUCCGCGUAAGAUUAGCUAGUUGGUGAGGUAAUGGCUCACCAAGGCGACGAUCUUUAACUGGUCUGAGAGGAUGAUCAGUCACACUGGAACUGGGACACGAUCCAGACUCCUACGGGAGGCAGCAGUAGGGAAUAGUGCACAAUGGAGGAAACGCUGAUGCAGCGACGCCGCGUGGGUGAUGAAGGCCUUCGGGGCGUAAAGCUCUGUCGCAGGGGAAUAACAGAAUGAAUGUACCCUGUAAGAAAGAAUCGGCUAACUUCGUG